This 515-nucleotide ribosomal RNA is filed under the name uncultured bacterium. RNAcentral's name for it is "partial 16S ribosomal RNA". It matches the Rfam family "Bacterial small subunit ribosomal RNA", at positions 28 to 523 of the family's 1533-position model. The record is from RNAcentral.
GAUGAACGCUGGCGGCGUGCCUAAUACGUGCAAGUCGAGCGAAUGGAUUAAGAGCUUGCUCUUAUGAAGUUAGCGGCGGACGGGUGAGUAACACGUGGGUAACCUGCCCAUAAGACUGGGAUAACCCCGGGAAACCGGGGCUAAUACCGGAUAACAUUUUGAACCGCAUGGUUCGAAAUUGAAAGGCGGCUUCGGCUGUCACUUAUGGAUGGACCCGCGUCGCAUUAGCUAGUUGGUGAGGUAACGGCUCACCAAGGCAACGAUGCGUAGCCCACCUGGGAGGGUGAUCGGCCACACUGGGACUGAGACACGGCCCAGACUCCUACGGGAGGCAGCAGUAGGGAAUCUUCCGCAAUGGACGAAAGUCUGACGGAGCAACGCCGCGUGAGUGAUGAAGGCUUUCGGGUCGUAAAACUCUGUUGUUAGGGAAGAACAAGUGCUAGUUGAAUAAGCUGGCACCUUGACGGUACCUAACCAGAAAGCCACGGCUAACUACGUGCCAGCCGCCGCGGUAA